Molecule: ribosomal RNA, 247 nt
Filed under: uncultured bacterium
Lineage: Bacteria
Description: partial 16S ribosomal RNA
Rfam family: Bacterial small subunit ribosomal RNA
Source: RNAcentral
UACGGGGGGGGCAAGCGUUGUUCGGAAUUACUGGGCGUAAAGGGCUCGUAGGUGGCCAACUAAGUCAGACGUGAAAUCCCUCGGCUUAACCGGGGAACUGCGUCUGAUACUGGAUGGCUUGAGUUCGGGAGAGGGAUGCGGAAUUCCAGGUGUAGCGGUGAAAUGCGUAGAUAUCUGGAGGAACACCGGUGGCGAAGGCGGCAUCCUGGACCGACACUGAGGCACGAAAGCUAGGGGAGCAAACAGG